CGCCCACUAGCGCACGCAGGAGACGCGGCGCACGUAGAGGGCUGGAGCGCGGUGACGUGGCCGCUGCGGAUUGGCGGAGCGGGUUCGCAGGGGAAAGGCGGAGCCUGAGGAGCCCCAGGCUGGCUCUGCGGCAGCGCGGCAGCGCCAGUGCCGGCGAGCCUGUUGAAACUGCGUAAGCGGUGAUCUACACGACAGCGAGGAAGUUACUCGUACCGGGCCAGUGGCGCAAUGGAUAACGCGUCUGACUACGGAUCAGAAGAUUCUAGGUGCCUGGCUCAGAGACCUGGGAGGGCCGGAAACGUCUGCGGCGGAGAGGGGACUCGAAGCCAGGGAGUGGCUGAGACAUCCAACGCUGUCCAUUAACCAGUCACACUGAUCGAUUGAUUAAUCUGUCCAAUAUAACGUGUUUUUCCUCUUGAGGAAAUAUAGAACAUUUGUAAACUACCGAAAAUGAUUGGGAAUAAAAACAAUGCCAGUUCUCAUCGCAGAUCAUUACUAUUCACAUAAUUUCCCCCCCCUCCCCUUAGAGGCCUUUCCCCCGCCCCGCCCCCCACAUUUUUAAUAUGGAUCUACCCACACGUAUUUUUCCAAAUUUCCCGCUUGUACCAGAAAUGUCUUCGUUUUCUUUUUGUCCCUUUAGCUUUUUUGCCUGAUAUGUAAGGUCAUUAAAUAUUCUCCGAAGAUAUCUCAUUAGAGUAUAUUUUAAGCAUUACUCUUUUGUUGGGAAUUUAGGUUGUCAGUUUUACAUUUUUUAAAAAGAAUUCUGUUAUUUCAUAUACGUCAUAAAUUUAUAGAUGUGAAAUGAUCAAGUGGACAUUUUUAAGGUCCAUUUUGUGGACAUUUUUAACCCAUGGUACGUAUUUUAAAAUUGCCCUCCAAAAAAAAUCCAAUAAAAUCUUCUAUUAAU
Molecule: long non-coding RNA, 907 nt
Organism: Pipistrellus kuhlii (Kuhl's pipistrelle)
Lineage: Eukaryota; Metazoa; Chordata; Mammalia; Chiroptera; Vespertilionidae
Exons: 2
Source: RefSeq, a predicted model, not a curated record